AGUGAACGCUGGCGGUAGGCCUAACACAUGCAAGUCGAACGGCAGCACAGUAAGAGCUUGCUCUUACGGGUGGCGAGUGGCGGACGGGUGAGGAAUACAUCGGAAUCUACUUUUUCGUGGGGGAUAACGUAGGGAAACUUACGCUAAUACCGCAUACGACCUACGGGUGAAAGCAGGGGAUCUUCGGACCUUGCGCGAUUGAAUGAGCCGAUGUCGGAUUAGCUAGUUGGCGGGGUAAAGGCCCACCCAGGCGACGAUCCGUAGCUGGUCUGAGAGGAUGAUCAGCCACACUGGAACUGAGACACGGGCCAGACUCCUACGGGAGGCAGCAGUGGGGAAUAUUGGACAAUGGGCGCAAGCCUGAUCCAGCCAUACCGCGUGGGUGAAGAAGGCCUUCGGGUUGUAAAGCCCUUUUGUUGGGAAAGAAAAGCAGCAGGUUAAUACCCCGCUGUUCUGACGGUACCCAAAGAAUAAGCACCGGCGAACUUCGU
RNAcentral lists this ribosomal RNA (491 nucleotides) under uncultured bacterium. Its description in RNAcentral is "partial 16S ribosomal RNA". It matches the Rfam family "Bacterial small subunit ribosomal RNA", at positions 29 to 506 of the family's 1533-position model. The record is from RNAcentral.